RNAcentral lists this ribosomal RNA (468 nucleotides) under uncultured bacterium. Its description in RNAcentral is "partial 16S ribosomal RNA". It matches the Rfam family "Bacterial small subunit ribosomal RNA", at positions 28 to 507 of the family's 1533-position model. The record is from RNAcentral.
GACGAACGCUGGCGGCGUGCUUAAUACAUGCAAGUCGAACGGAAAGGCCCUGCUUUUGUGGGGUGCUCGAGUGGCGAACGGGUGAGUAACACGUGAGUAACCUGCCCUUGACUUUGGGAUAACUUCAGGAAACUGGGGCUAAUACCGGAUAGGAGCUCCUGCUGCAUGGUGGGGGUUGGAAAGUUUCGGCGGUUGGGGAUGGACUCGCGGCUUAUCAGCUUGUUGGUGGGGUAGUGGCUUACCAAGGCUUUGACGGGUAGCCGGCCUGAGAGGGUGACCGGCCACAAUGGUACUGAGAUACGGCCCAGACUCCUACGGGAGGCAGCAGGGGGGAAUAUUGCACAAUGGGCGGAAGCCUGAUGCAGCAACGCCGCGUGCGGGAUGACGGCCUUCGGGUUGUAAACCGCUUUCGCCUGUGACGAAGCGUUAGUGACGGUAAUGGGUAAAGAAGCACCGGCUAACUACGUG